Molecule: non-coding RNA, 375 nt
Organism: Cucurbita pepo subsp. pepo (vegetable marrow)
Lineage: Eukaryota; Viridiplantae; Streptophyta; Magnoliopsida; Cucurbitales; Cucurbitaceae
Source: RefSeq, a predicted model, not a curated record
UGCAAUUUAAGGUACAAAAUGGAGUAUCCAUGGACGACACUGUUCAUUUUGAUUAGCCCCACUCUUUGUCCUGCAGCAGGUUUGAUAUCUUCUAUCAUCAUCGAAGCUCAAAAGGAGGAGAUUCAAUCAUGAGUCAAAUAUUCAAAUCCAGAUGUAAAAAUUGAGGUAAGAAAGUCACUGAAACGGUGCAAGUAAAAAUUAACAUAUUCUUCUUCCUCUUCCUGGAAUGGCAGUUUGAAGUACACAAGUUUUGGGUCUUAAAUUAUGAUUACGAGAACAAUUAUGAAGCAUUUUCUGUGGACAAUUGACGGCCCAGAUUCGUCGUACUCUGCCUUUGCAAUCCACAUCUGCACCAAAACAAACAAGACGGCGAUU